Molecule: long non-coding RNA, 396 nt
Filed under: Triticum aestivum (bread wheat)
Lineage: Eukaryota; Viridiplantae; Streptophyta; Magnoliopsida; Poales; Poaceae
Description: long non-coding RNA (TAES_LNC003196)
Source: RNAcentral
CUAUCAUCUGUUUUUGUCCUUGUUUGCGUGCAUGUGUGAAAGAAAUAAAAAAACCGACGUCUCACAAUGGGUGGCUAGAAGAGCGUUUAGCCUGACCUCCUUCAGCCCUCACACGUGUGGGCGAAAUUGCUUCAUGCCACACGUGUGACAUUUAUCAGGGUCCAUUAAGAUUUGUUCGUUGAAGGCGUAGUAGAGCUUGAGGUCGUGCCUGAAACAUAUAAGGCACAAAGAGACAUAUCAAGACCGGACAAAAUCGGCAUCGUGAACCCACAAAAGAGCUCUUGUGCGCCAUGAGGCCACCGUCGGCGCAAUCAGGUCUGCACCAUAAGUCAUCGCCCACCCAUAAGCGAGCCCCCCCACGCCUAAGAGAGGAGAGGGUGCGUACGUGCAUGGAUC